GACGAACGCUGGCGGCGUGCUUAACACAUGCAAGUCGAACGGAAAGGCCUUGCUUUUGUGGGGUGCUCGAGUGGCUAACGGGUGAGUAACACGUGAGUAACCUGCCCUUUACUUUGGGAUAACUUCAGGAAACUGGGGCUAAUACCUGAUAGGAGCUCCUGCUGCAUGGUGGGGGUUGGAAAGUUUCGGCGGUUGGGGAUGGACUCGGGGCUUAUCAGCUUGUUGGUGGGGUAGUGGCUUACCAAGGCUUUGACGGGUAGCCGGCCUGAGAGGGUGACCGGCCACAUUGGGACUGAGAUACGGCCAAGACUCAUACGGGAGGCAGCAGUGGGGAAUAUUGCACAAUGGGCGGAAGCCUGAUGCAGCAACGCCGCGUGCGGGAUGACGGCCUUCGGGUUGUAAACCGCUUUCGCCUGUGACGAAGCGUGAGUGACGGUAAUGGGUAAAGAAGCACCGGCUAACUACGUG
This 468-nucleotide ribosomal RNA is filed under the name uncultured bacterium. Its description in RNAcentral is "partial 16S ribosomal RNA". It matches the Rfam family "Bacterial small subunit ribosomal RNA", at positions 28 to 507 of the family's 1533-position model. The record is from RNAcentral.